Non-coding RNA from Phalacrocorax carbo (great cormorant), 4137 nucleotides. Lineage: Eukaryota; Metazoa; Chordata; Aves; Suliformes; Phalacrocoracidae. The record is from RefSeq and is a predicted model, not a curated record.
ACCCCCCCUUACUGUGGGAACUGCUUUUGAGUUGACGCUCUCAUGCUUGGCUCCAGCCUGAACUACAGCACCAGCUGUGUCGCAGCCGGGAAUGUGCCUGGCCAUGGGCCCCAUUGGUCCAGAUGUGGACCAAGCACAGGCUGACUUCCCAGCCUCACCCCAGACCUGCCUCAUCACUGCUGACUCGCCUGGCAGUCACUGAGAUGUACCUGACCUUGGUCAACAUCACCGGACCUGAUACCGUCCCCGAUUCACCGACUCGUGCAACCAGCUUGCCCCCAGACUGGGGUCCGGAGGUCAGAGCUGACUGCCACCCCCAGAUAUUAGAAUCCUUCAGUAUCUGUAAAAUCAGAAUAAACCUGUACCUGUUUUAGACUGAAUCAAAACAAAAAUGGAAUCAACCAGGAGAAGUAUCAUCAGAUUCUGCCUUUCACUGGUUGACCAGACCUCUUAAUGCACACUUCUACCCAGAUGUUUGCUGGUUGUAUGCAAACUGCAACUGCCUUUCAAACAAGCUACACAUUUAUCAGAAAACGCACUGGACAUCAGAAGAGAAUUUCACUAGCAGCAGGUUUUCCAGAUGAUGAAGAGACAGAAUGCUAUGAAAACCUAAUUUACUUUUUGUGUGAGGUAGAAGGGUUAUAUUCCUCUGGGCCUUUAUUCCUGUGCAUGCCCCUUUGCAAAUGAAACACACCGCACAAGUACUGUAUGAAGAAAAGCAUCAUGAAUACUAAGUUAGUCUUGAGUUGCACAGGAAUAUAAAAUGCAUUGGUUCUAGUUAAAAUCGAUUUUGCCUUGGAAAUGAGUAUUGGAUUCACUUUCUCACUCUCCCCAAAACACUUAGAUGGAAAAUACCACUGUAGCUGCUGUGUAUUAAAGUGGUAAAUAUACAACCAAGCAAUCCAGAAACCUUGCUGGUUGGUUCAAUAACAGUCUAUUUCAUUGUUUGAUUGUACAAAGGGCUACAACCUCUAGAAUGAAUUCACAGAGUUAAUCUGUGUUGCUUCAAAAAAUGAACAACUCCUCUCCCCCCUCCCUCCAGUACUAACAAGAUAUAAUUGGAGCAGAGUAGUUUCCAGAUGUUUGGAGUCACCAGUUACUAUGGCAUUAUCAAAAGAAAGGAAAAGAAGAAAUGGAAGAGGAGCACUCGUUAAAUCCAUCCCAUUUAUGUUCUCGAGCAGAAUUAAAAAAAUGUUUUUCAUUUUUCCUUUUCAAAAAAAGUUCAGGAAGGAAAGGGGCUACAUGAAAUUGUAGAAUCAAAAUUUUGUGUACUGCUGUAACACAUGCAGCAGCUGCUGGAUUCUUUAUGCUUCCCUUUAUAUCAAGUUAAAAUAAAUUACUAAUCUAAAAUGUUUUAAUAAUUACUGACUUCAGGUAAAGAUACUGAUGAGUAUUGAUGAGAUUAGGUACACUGAUAGAACCCAACUUUCACAAUCUUUUGAAGGCCCAAAUGACUGAAUAUCUUAAUGCUGCAGAAUUAAUUCAAAUACUUUUCACAUGGGAAAGUCAAGGAACUAUAGGACUUGACAAAGAUUUUCAAGGUUUCCGUAUGGACUUCUUCACAGUCUGUAUGUAACUGAAAUGUACAACCAGUUUCUGCUAUAUUGUAAAAUAGUAACAUUUAAAGAAGGGAUAUUGAUGGUACUGAUUCUUGUCACCUAAAAGGGCAGAAUGGGUCAAUCUGGGGCUGUAAAAUUUAUUUUUAUAUGCAUCUCCUCAGUACUUCUUAGGCAGCACCAAUUGUACCCCUUAGCAACAGAUUUUCACAAAAGUAGAAGAGAUAUCAUUGGAUUGAUUAAGACUGAUAUUAUUGAUCUAUUAUGAUUUGAUCAAUUGAGAAGGAUAAGCAAAUCAUAACUUCCUUUGCUUUACUUUCACAGAAUCACAGACUGGUGGGGGUUGGAAGGGACCUCUGGAGCUCACCCCGUCCCACCCCUGCAUGAGCAGGCACCCCCAGAGCAGGGGCACAGGGCCGCGUCCAGGCGGGGGGUGAAUGUCCCCAGGGAAGGGACCCCACAGCCUCCCUGGGCAGCCUGUGCCCCUGCUCGGGCACCCGCACAGGGAAGGGUUUUUUCUCAUGUUUAAGUGGAACCUCCCGUGUUCCAACUUGUGCCCAUUGCCCCCUGGCCUGUCAUUGGGCACCACUGAAAGGAGUUUGGCCCCAUCCUCUUGACACCCACCCUUUAGAUAUUUAUAAGCAUUGAUGAGAUCCCCCCUCAGCCUUCUCUUCUCCAGGCUGAACAAACCCAGGUCUCUCAGCCUUUCCUCAUAAGAGAGGUGCUUCAGUCCCCUGAUCAUUUUCACAGCUUAUGUUGUUAUAUUCUAAUGAUAUAGAUAUACUUAAGGUAUAGACUGAACAUAUUGCCUAGGCAUUUUGCUUCAAUAUCAAGUAACUUUCCACCUGACUUGGCAAUAAAGUUAAUUUGGCUUUGCAGUGCCAGGUUACAGAUCAAAAAAUACUGUGGUAGAUUGAUACUAUCUCACUCAGCUGAUUCAAAAUUGCUCUAAACAUUUGACUAAUUAUUUGGCACUGGCCAUUUUCUUUCCUUGCUUGUGCCUGUAGAGGUUAGUCUGAUAGAUGUAAAACCAUGUAAACUUGUACUGCUGGAUAUUGCAAUAAUUGAUAGAUCUGGUAUUGUUACUGUGGAAACAGAGCCUGAAUCAGAGGGGAAAAAAAAGUGCUUCUACUAGGCACAAUUUUCUAACAUUUUCAUUACUUUAAUUUUAAGACUCUGGGGCAGGCAAAAUAGCCCUGAAAUUUAAUGCAAAUAAUAAACAAAAAAAGAAUUACCACAUUCAGUUAAUGAACAAGGGAGACUAAAGGUCAUAUAGAAACCAAUAUGAACUGAAAGACCUUAUUUGCCCAAGUCUCUGUGCAGCCACAGGGUGACUCAUUAGAUAUUCAGAGAUGGGAAAACCUACAGAGGUAGCCCUGAACUGAGGUGACUUUUUGCCUAGGCUACUUUAGGUAAAUAAAUAGCCACCAGAGUUCACCAGUAGUGCUCAUCAGAGGCCUAAGAUAUAUCUGUGAGAUCACAGAGGUCUUGGACAGGCAUAAAGGAGAAGAGAUAUGCCUGAGAUAUCUCAGGCUUGGAAUAUAUAUUGUUAAUGAAAACAUUUAGUGAAAAUUUUCUGUAAAGCUGCCUAGGUGCGAGUUGUGAAACAUAAGUAAAGAACUAAAAGAAAAUUAAGGCAUGGGAAGUGAGGAAAAAAUGAACUUAAAAGAUGCAAAUUGAAACAGAGUUGUGUAUGGAACUAGGGCACAAAGCUUGGAAAGAACAUUCUCCAGCCUAAGAAACCUCCUGCCUACUGCCAAAUACUGCAGAGAGAAAACACCCACUGUGUUGGUGAACACAGUGUACUACAGCACUAGUACAUUGAUGGCACUGGUGUGCAUUAACACAGCAGGUGCUGUGCAGUGAAGGAACUAAAUAUUCUAAGAGUCUUCACUCAGCAGAAUCUGUUGCUUCUCCAACUCCCAGCUGUUUUUCUCUUUCACUGUGGAUGUUGUAGGAGUGCACAAUCUGGAUUAAAGUACAGCAAAAGUCCUUACCUUUCUAUUGUAAUUCCUUUUUUUUUUUAAAUUCUUUGUGCGACUUCUGCAAAUCCACCCGCUAUUUCUCUUUGUUGUAUGAAUCACAGAUGUUUGCCUUUCAUGAUUAACUUAAUAUUUUCUUGAAUUUUCAUGCAAACUGUUACGAACUGAGAAUACUCUUCUGUUCAGUUUUAUGCUUUUGCACUAGGUACAGGCAUUUUUAUAUUAUGUCACAGCACACUUUUACUAUUAUCCCCAUUUACCUUUUUACCUAAUCAAACUGCAGCUAAUACCUAUAACAAAACACUUAUUCAUUUCUGUAUCCUUUUGAGGUACUUUUGAUUCUUUAUGUGAAAUGCCACAUUUUGCAUAUCUGUACCAAACCCUUGCGUAGUUGAAUUCUGAGCUUCAGAAAUUUAUACUGUAUGAAAUGUCAUUCUUCAGGGUUGAAUACAUUCUGAUAAAAUACAUAGAUAUCUUUUCCCAACUCCCCAAAAUACAUCCUUUUCCCUGAAAAAUCUCCAAAGCUUUCUGUAAAUUACUCACUUUAUGGUUCUAUAUACUCUUUCAACAUAAAGAAAAGCACUUGUUCAAACUAAGAA